UCGAGAAUCUUCCACAAUGGACGAAAGUCUGAUGGAGCGACGCCGCGUGAUUGAUGAAGUCCUUCGGGACGUAAAGAUCUUUUAUGGGGGAGGAAGUAAUUGACGUUACCCCAUGAAUAAGAGGCUCCUAACUCUGUGCCAGCAGGAGCGGUAAUACAGAGGCCUCAAGCGUUACCCGGAAUCACUGGGCGUAAAGGGUGUGUAGGCGGUAUUGUUAGUCUUUCGUAAAAGCUCUUGGGCUUAACCCAGGAAAUGCGGGAGAAACGGCAGUACUUAGAGGAUGUGAGAGGUAAAGGGAACUCAAGGUGUAGGGGUGAAAUCCGUUGAUAUCUUGGGGAACACCAAAUGCGAAGGCACUUUACUGGCACACUCCUGACGCUGAAACACGAAAGCGUGGGAAUCGAACGGGAUUAGAUACCCCCGUAGUCC
Molecule: ribosomal RNA, 429 nt
Filed under: uncultured bacterium
Lineage: Bacteria
Description: bacterial SSU rRNA
Rfam family: Bacterial small subunit ribosomal RNA
Source: RNAcentral